UGGGGAAUAUUGCACAAUGGGGGAAACCCUGAUGCAGCGACGCCGCGUGAACGAAGAAGGUAUUCGUAUCGUAAAGUUCUGUCCUAUGGGAAGAUAAUGACAGUACCAUAGAAGAAAGCUCCGGCUAAAUACGUGCCAGCAGCCGCGGUAAUACGUAUGGAGCGAGCGUUGUCCGGAAUUAUUGGGCGUAAAGGGUACGCAGGCGGUUUAAUAAGUCGAAUGUUAAAGAUCGGGGCUCAACCCCGUAAAGCAUUGGAAACUGAUAAACUUGAGUAGUGGAGAGGAAAGUGGAAUUCCUAGUGUAGUGGUGAAAUACGUAGAUAUUAGGAGGAAUACCAGUAGCGAAGGCGACUUUCUGGACACAAACUGACGCUAAGGUACGAAAGCGUGGGGAGCAAACAGG
This 403-nucleotide ribosomal RNA is filed under the name bacterium. Its description in RNAcentral is "partial 16S ribosomal RNA". It matches the Rfam family "Bacterial small subunit ribosomal RNA", at positions 355 to 776 of the family's 1533-position model. The record is from RNAcentral.